Gorilla gorilla gorilla (western lowland gorilla) is the source of this 330-nucleotide unclassified non-coding RNA. Its record names the gene 7SK. It matches the Rfam family "7SK RNA". Rfam says of the family: 7SK was discovered as an abundant small nuclear RNA in the mid-70s but a possible function has only recently been suggested. Two independent studies have found that 7SK RNA binds the CDK9/cyclin T complex (known as elongation factor P-TEFb). The record is from Ensembl. NCBI's taxonomy places the organism in Eukaryota, Metazoa, Chordata, Mammalia, Primates, Hominidae.
GGACGUGAGGGUGGUCUGGCUGUGACAUCUGUCACCCCAUUGAUUGCCAGGGUUGAUCCGGUUGAUAUGGCUGGCUAGGUGGGUGUCCCCUUCCUGCCUCACCACUCCAUGUACAUCCCUCCUGAAGCUGCUUGCUUGGUCAAAGAGGACAACCAUCCCUGAUAGAGGAGGACCGGUCUUCAGUCAAGGGUAUACGAGUAGCUGCGCUCCCCUGCUAGAGCCUCCAAACAAGCUCUCAAGAAGAUUGAAUGUUUAAUCCUGAUUAUGUUAGACAGAACAAUCACAGAGAAGAAGAAAACUCUGAAUCUUGGGAUGGGGCCAUCUGUGUCA